GGCGAACGCUGGCGGCGUGCUUAACACAUGCAAGUCGAACGGAAAGGCCCUGCUUUUGUGGGGUGCUCGAGUGGCGAACGGGUGAGUAACACGUGAGUAACCUUCCCUUUACUUUGGGAUAACUUCAGGAAACUGGGGCUAAUACCGGAUAGGAGCUCCUGCUGCAUGGUGGGGGUUGGAAAGUUUCGGCGGUUGGGGAUGGACUCGCGGCUUAUCAGCUUGUUGGUGGGGUAGUGGCUUACCAAGGCUUUGACGGGUAGCCGGCCUGAGAGGGUGACCGGCCACAUUGGGACUGAGAUACGGCCCAGACUCCUACGGGAGGCAGCAGUGGGGAAUAUUGCACAAUGGGCGGAAGCCUGAUGCAGCAACGCCGCGUGCGGGAUGACGGCCUUCGGGUUGUAAACCGCUUUCGCCUGUGACGAAGCGUGAGUGACGGUAAUGGGUAAAGAAGCACCGGCUAACUACGUG
This 468-nucleotide ribosomal RNA is filed under the name uncultured bacterium. RNAcentral's name for it is "partial 16S ribosomal RNA". It matches the Rfam family "Bacterial small subunit ribosomal RNA", at positions 28 to 507 of the family's 1533-position model. The record is from RNAcentral.